GCUCCCAUAGUUCAAUGGAUAUAACGCCGGCCUCCGAAGCUGGAAAUGGCCGUUCGAAUCGGCCUGGGAGCA
RNAcentral lists this transfer RNA (72 nucleotides) under Candidatus Falkowbacteria bacterium RIFOXYA2_FULL_38_12. RNAcentral's name for it is "tRNA-Arg". It matches the Rfam family "tRNA". From Rfam's summary of the family: Transfer RNA (tRNA) molecules are approximately 80 nucleotides in length. Their secondary structure includes four short double-helical elements and three loops (D, anti-codon, and T loops). The record is from RNAcentral. RNAcentral also lists the same sequence under 2 other names. Lineage: Bacteria; Candidatus Falkowiibacteriota.